This 301-nucleotide ribosomal RNA is filed under the name uncultured bacterium. RNAcentral describes it as "partial 16S ribosomal RNA". It matches the Rfam family "Bacterial small subunit ribosomal RNA", at positions 509 to 807 of the family's 1533-position model. The record is from RNAcentral.
CAGCAGCCGCGGGAAUACGAAGGGUGCAAGCGUUAAUCGGAAUUACUGGGCGUAAAGCGCACGUAGGCGGCUUUGUAAGUUAGAGGUGAAAGCCCGGAGCUCAACUCCGGAAUUGCCUUUAAGACUGCAGAGCUAGCAGGUGAGAGAGGUGAGUGGAAUUCCGAGUGUAGAGGUGAAAUUCGUAGAUAUUCGGAAGAACACCAGUGGCGAAGGCGGCUCACUGGCUCAUACUGGACGCUGAGGUGCGAAAGCGUGGGGAGCAAACAGGAUUAGAUACCCGAGUAGUCCCUGUCUCUUAUAC